GCAGUGGUAGUUCAGUGUUAGAAUUCUUGCCUUCCAUGCGGGAGGCUUGGAUUUGAUUGCCCAACGAAUGCA
Molecule: transfer RNA, 72 nt
Filed under: Loxodonta africana (African savanna elephant)
Lineage: Eukaryota; Metazoa; Chordata; Mammalia; Proboscidea; Elephantidae
Rfam family: tRNA
About the family: Transfer RNA (tRNA) molecules are approximately 80 nucleotides in length.
Source: Rfam by way of RNAcentral